CCUACGGGGGGCUGCAGUGGGGGAUAUUGCACAAUGGGGGGAACCCUGAUGCAGCGACGCCGCGUGGGUGAAGAAGCGCCUCGGCGCGUAAAGCCCUGUCAGCAGGGAAGAAAAUGACGGUACCUGAAGAAGAAGCCCCGGCUAACUACGUGCCAGCAGCCGCGGUAAUACGUAGGGGGCAAGCGUUAUCCGGAUUUACUGGGUGGAAAGGGGGCGCAGACGGCGAUGCAAGCCAGGAGUGAAAGCCCGGGGCCCAACCCCGGGACUGCUCUUGGAACUGCGUGGCUGGAGUGCAGGAGGGGCAGGCGGAAUGCCUGGUGUAGCGGUGAAAUGCGUAGAUAUCAGGAGGAACACCGGUGGCGAAGGCGGCCUGCUGGACUGCAACUGACGUUGAGGCCCGAAAGCGUGGGGAGCAAACAGGAUUAGAUACCCUGGUAGUC
RNAcentral lists this ribosomal RNA (440 nucleotides) under uncultured bacterium. RNAcentral's name for it is "partial 16S ribosomal RNA". It matches the Rfam family "Bacterial small subunit ribosomal RNA", at positions 338 to 795 of the family's 1533-position model. The record is from RNAcentral.